Molecule: ribosomal RNA, 192 nt
Filed under: uncultured bacterium
Lineage: Bacteria
Description: partial 16S ribosomal RNA
Rfam family: Bacterial small subunit ribosomal RNA
Source: RNAcentral
AACCCGACUACAUGAAGCUGGAAUCGCUAGUAAUCGCGAAUCAGAAUGUCGCGGUGAAUACGUUCCCGGGUCUUGUACACACCGCCCGUCACACCAUGGGAGUCGGAUAUGCCCGAAGCCGGUGACCUAACCGCAAGGAAGGAGCCGUCGAAGGUGGAGCCGAUGACUGGGGUGAAGUCGUAACAAGGUAAC